RNAcentral lists this long non-coding RNA (461 nucleotides) under Salvia miltiorrhiza (redroot sage). RNAcentral describes it as "long non-coding RNA (SMIL_LNC012159)". Lineage: Eukaryota; Viridiplantae; Streptophyta; Magnoliopsida; Lamiales; Lamiaceae. The record is from RNAcentral.
GCGCAUUAGGGUCCUCUAUCGCGUGCCCUCCAUACUGGUUCUGUUGGACCAUUGUGAUCAAACCAGUCUUCAGCUCGAAAUUAUUGACAUUGACACGUGGAGGUUCCUGGUAAAUAUACUGUGGUAUGAAUGCCUCAUUAAUCGGAGGCUGCUUCUGCUCCUCUAGCUUUUUCUGCGCAUCCAAUAACUGCUGCAGCUGUUCCUGUAGAGCACGAAUCUGUUCAGCAGUAUCCAUCGUAUGCAGUGCCUAAAAAAACGAGAAUUAGAAAAAUAAAAAAAUAAACAGUAAACGCCUGAAGUACUACUAAGUCCUAUCGGAAAUAUUAAAGAAACUUCUAAUCAGUCCCCGGCAACGGCGCCAAAAAGUUGAUCACUAAUUUCUUAGCAACAAAUACUGCAACUAACACAGGCAAUUGUAGCAAAUAAUAAGUAACCGAGUAUCGUAUCCACAGGGACUGACA